CUGAACAUUCUAAAACAGAUCAUUGGAGACAUAAUUGAACAGGGGUAGAUAAAAGGUGUAUUUAAAGAGAAAUCAGUGGGUUUCCCUGAAACAUACAACUAGAACAAUCUACAGUGUACAACUUGACUACAGGGUUCCUCUUGCAAAAAGGAGAUCAGAUACUCAGUGGUAAUUCCCUUACAGUUUUAAGCCCUUCUCCAUUACUGAUAUACUAGAACAUUAACAACAUUUGUGGACUGAGAAUAAUUUUUUUUUUCAAAGGGAGAAAUUCUUAACCAAUUGCAGUACAUUUUUAGAAUGGAAGUGUGAUAGGCAUAUUCUGUUUCCUGCUGCCACACCAGAGAAUGGUUCAGCUGAUGAAGAAGCAAGCAAUAGAGGAGCUGACAUUCACAGUAGUCUGUGCAGAAGAGGCAUUAAGGAGAGGCAAUCAGGAUGUUUGUUCUUCUCUCUUGAGAGCAUAAGGAUUACUACAGACAUUUCACUGGCAAUCCUCACAAACUGGGUGUUCCUUCCUUUUGUGUUGACAGAAGUCUUCAGAAAGUCUACUUCCAUGACUGGACCUUUGAUAAGAAGAGUUGAAGUACUUAGCAGUCUAAGUGCAGGAUGAUUGGUUUGAGCUUGUCAUGACACUUCAGCUCGUUGGCCUACCCUCUGCAAGAGUGCGGUAAGAAGCAAGUUCUUUGUUACAUAAGUUGAGCCGGGUUAGGAUUGCCCUGGAGAUGGAUCUUCCCAGCACACGUGCUGCAGUCACUGCAGUGUGCCCGUGGAGCAGCCAGAGCUCAGCAGCAAGUGCUGAGAUCUUCCAUGCAGGACCUAGUACUGGGCUUAGUGACAUAAAGCAGAACUGCUGCAACCGCUGCAUGAAGGUGCUUUAAACAGUAGGUACACACAUGUAGAAGUGUCUAAUAGCCUUUUGUAGCAUACAGAGCAUCGUUUUC
Molecule: long non-coding RNA, 938 nt
Filed under: Gallus gallus (chicken)
Lineage: Eukaryota; Metazoa; Chordata; Aves; Galliformes; Phasianidae
Description: long non-coding RNA NONGGAT006857
Source: RNAcentral